Non-coding RNA from Kogia breviceps (pygmy sperm whale), 804 nucleotides. The record is from RefSeq and is a predicted model, not a curated record. Lineage: Eukaryota; Metazoa; Chordata; Mammalia; Artiodactyla; Physeteridae.
AACGGCCCAAGCAGGGGGCCAGCGGCUAACCGCUCAGGGCCUACCCCACUCCCAGGCCCCACGAGGGGAUGGCCCUCCUCCCUACUCCGCCCUUUACUGGGCUCAGUUCCUGGAGAGGGAGGUGAAGGGGAACAGCCCCAGGGCACAGGGAAGGAGCACGUUCCCACAGGCCCGGCGCCCGGUCCAGCAGCAGGAGUUUGAAUGGGGGAAGGGAGCAGGGCUCACCUGUCCAACCUGGCCUCCUAGACCUACUCUCUUCACACCGCCAACCUUGCUUCUCUCUGGCACCCUCUGAGCCUCUGGUCCUCUACACCCCAACCCAACCGUAGGACCAGCCCCCUCUCUCCCAGCCCCUUCCUCUCUACUUCCACCUCCAGUUCCUCCCCAUAACUCCACAAGGCCCUCCCCAGUCCUCUCAAGGACCCUGGGGUCCAGACUCCGAGGUCCUGGUUCCCCUGGGCUCCCUGCUCAAAGCCCGGGAGUCCUCUUCAGGGCAGCCAGCUCUGCCCUGGUGGGGUCGGAGGGUCUGACCGCUGGCAAGGAUAGGCCCGGACAAGGGUUUUGCAUUCCGGGGAGAACCAGAAUACCAGUUUCCUAGUUGCUCAUCUCAGGACUUAAUGAAGGUCAGGUUCUUUAUGUCUUGGCACAAAAGGAAUUCAGCGAGAGGCAAAGUGAUAGACAUCUGCACUCCUGGUUCUUGGGCCUCCAGACUCAGACCAAAUUGCAUCACUAGCUUUCCUAGUUCUCCAGCUGCAGACAGCAAAUCAUGGGACUUCUCAGCCUCCAUAAUUGUGCCAUAUAUAU